CAGCCGUAAACUAUGCGCGUUAGGUGUAUCGGUGACCACGAGUUACCGAGGCGCCGAAGGGAAACCGUGAAACGUGCCGCCUGGGAAGUACGGUCGCAAGGCUGAAACUUAAAGGAAUUGGCGGGGGAGCACCACAACAGGUGGAGCCUGCGGUUUAAUUGGACGUCAACGCCGGGAAGCUCACCGGAUAGGACAGCAGAAUGAUUGCCGGGCUGAAGACCCUGCAUGACUAGCUGAGAGGAGGUGCAUGGCGUAGACGUCU
RNAcentral lists this ribosomal RNA (262 nucleotides) under uncultured archaeon. Its description in RNAcentral is "partial 16S ribosomal RNA". It matches the Rfam family "Archaeal small subunit ribosomal RNA", at positions 748 to 1009 of the family's 1478-position model. The record is from RNAcentral.